UACGUAGGGGGCAAGCGUUGUCCGGAAUCAUUGGGCGUAAAGAGCGUGUAGGCGGCCUCGUAAGUCUGCUGUGAAAGUCCAGGGCUCAACCCUGGGAUGUUAGUGGAUACUGUGAGGCUCGAGUCCGGAAGAGGAGUGUGGAAUUCCUGGUGUAGCGGUGAAAUGCGUAGAUAUCGGGAGGAACACCAGUGGCGAAGGCGGCUUCCUGGCCUGUUCUUGACGCUGAGGCGCGAAAGCUAGGGGAGCAAACGGG
This 253-nucleotide ribosomal RNA is filed under the name uncultured bacterium. RNAcentral's name for it is "partial 16S ribosomal RNA". It matches the Rfam family "Bacterial small subunit ribosomal RNA", at positions 524 to 776 of the family's 1533-position model. The record is from RNAcentral.